This 274-nucleotide ribosomal RNA is filed under the name uncultured bacterium. RNAcentral describes it as "partial 16S ribosomal RNA". It matches the Rfam family "Bacterial small subunit ribosomal RNA", at positions 523 to 796 of the family's 1533-position model. The record is from RNAcentral.
AUACGGAGGGUGCAAGCGUUAUCCGGAUUUAUUGGGUUUAAAGGGUCCGUAGGCGGAUCUGUAAGUCAGUGGUGAAAUCUCAUAGCUUAACUAUGAAACUGCCAUUGAUACUGCAGGUCUUGAGUAAGGUAGAAGUAGCUGGAAUAAGUAGUGUAGCGGUGAAAUGCAUAGAUAUUACUUAGAACACCAAUUGCGAAGGCAGGUUACUAUGUCUUAACUGACGCUCAUGGACGAAAGCGUGGGGAGCGAACAGGAUUAGAAACCCCAGUAGUCC